AGGCUCAGCCCAAACCACGUUUCUUUUCCCGGUGCAGCUUAUGUUGAAGAGGGAGUUUGCCUGCAGGACGAACUCUUCCUGGUUGGACACUAUGGUCGGCGGCGACAGUCCACAGCUUUAAUUUCUCAGAGGCAGUGUGUCAAAGAUGAAUCCAAAGGCCUUGACCCACACAUUAGGUCGAGGCAGAUGUCUACCCUUCCUGAUCACGGUUCUGCUGGAGGUUUCUUCCUGUGUAAAGAGUUUUUUUUCAUCACACUGGCAACAAAGAGCUUGUUUAAAGGGAAUCAUUUUGAUUUGUGGGAUUUCUCCUUAUAUUAUUGGAAGGUUUUUACAUUACAACAUGACGGAAACUGAACUGAAUUUGAAUUGUCAUUGUGAGUGUGUUAACAAGCUGUGCUGUAGGAUGUAUCUCAAGGCAUCAACUGUGUCCUGGUGUCAUUCUAAAAUAAACAGAUAAAAAUA
Long non-coding RNA from Acanthochromis polyacanthus (spiny chromis), 462 nucleotides. RefSeq lists it as uncharacterized. Lineage: Eukaryota; Metazoa; Chordata; Actinopteri; Pomacentridae. The record is from RefSeq and is a predicted model, not a curated record. The transcript has 3 exons.